GAUGAACGCUAGCGAUAGGCUUAACACAUGCAAGUCGAGGGGCAGCAUGGUCUUAGCUUGCUAAGACUGAUGGCGACCGGCGCACGGGUGCGUAACGCGUAUGCAACUUGCCUCACAGAGGGUUAUAACCCGUCGAAAGACGGACUACUACCGCGUACACUCUAUUUUGGGCAUCCAAGGUAGAGGCAAUGAACUUCGCUGUGAGAUAGGCAUGCGUCCCAUUAGCUAGUUGGUGAGGUAACGGCUCACCAAGGCGACGAUGGGUAGGGGAACGGAGAGGUGGAACCCCAACACCGGUACUGAGACACGGACCAGACUCCUACGGCAGGCAGCAGUGAGGAAUAUUAGUCAAUGGGCGAGAGCGUGAAACAGCCAAGUCGGGUGAAGGAGGACUGUGUUAUGGAUUGUAAACUUCUUUUGUAGGAGAAUAAAGAGGGGAACGGGUGCCCCAGUGAAUGUACCUGACGAAUAAGCAUCGGCUAACUCCGUG
RNAcentral lists this ribosomal RNA (490 nucleotides) under uncultured bacterium. RNAcentral describes it as "partial 16S ribosomal RNA". It matches the Rfam family "Bacterial small subunit ribosomal RNA", at positions 28 to 507 of the family's 1533-position model. The record is from RNAcentral.